This is a non-coding RNA of Acanthosepion pharaonis, 109 nucleotides long. The record is from the annotation of a GenBank genome assembly. NCBI's taxonomy places the organism in Eukaryota, Metazoa, Mollusca, Cephalopoda, Sepiida, Sepiidae.
UUACGGCAAUAUCAUGUAGAAGCACUCGUUCACGUGCGAUCACCGAGGUUAAGCAACGCCGAGCCUUGUCGGUAACUAGAUGGGUGACCGCUUAUGAAUACCAGGCGCU